Molecule: ribosomal RNA, 605 nt
Filed under: uncultured bacterium
Lineage: Bacteria
Description: bacterial SSU rRNA
Rfam family: Bacterial small subunit ribosomal RNA
Source: RNAcentral
GAGUUUGAUCAUGGCUCAGAACGAACGUUGGCGGCGUGGAUUAGGCAUGCAAGUCGAGCGAAUCCCCGCAAGGGGGGAAGCGGCGAAAGGGGCAGUAAGGCAUGGGUAACCUACCCUGGGGACUGGAAUAGCCCUUCGAGAGAAGGGGUAAUACCGGGCGACGAGCGAGCGGGGCAUCCCGCUUUCUCCAAAUGAGUUUCGCCCUGGGAGGGGCCCAUGUGAUAUUAGCUAGUUGGUGAGGUAACGGCUCACCAAGGCGAAGAUGUCUAGCGGGUGUGAGAGCACGACCCGCGCCACUGGCACUGAGACACUGGCCAGACACCUACGGGUGGCUGCAGUCGAGGAUCUUCGGCAAUGGGCGCAAGCCUGACCGAGCGACGCCGCGUGGGCGAUGAAGGCCUUCGGGUUGUAAAGCCCUGUCGAGAGGGAGAAAGGGAAACUUGAUCUAUCUCUGGAGGAAGCACGGGCUAAGUUCGUGCCAGCAGCCGCGGUAAGACGAACCGUGCGAACGUUGUUCGGAAUCACUGGGCUUAAAGGGCGCGUAAGCGGGUCGCCAAGUCUGGGGUGAAAUCCUCCCGCUUAACGGGAAAACUGCCUCAGAUACU